AUUGAACGCUGGCGGCAGGCUUAACACAUGCAAGUCGAGCGGGGUGAUGGUGCUUGCACUAUCACUUAGCGGCGGACGGGUGAGUAAUGCUUAGGAAUCUGCCUAUUAGUGGGGGACAACAUCUCGAAAGGGAUGCUAAUACCGCAUACGUCCUACGGGAGAAAGCAGGGGAUCACUUGUGACCUUGCGCUAAUAGAUGAGCCUAAGUCGGAUUAGCUAGUUGGUGGGGUAAAGGCCUAACAAGGCGACGGUCUAAAGCGGGUCUGAGAGGAUGAUCCGCCACACUGGGACUGAGACACGGCCCAGACUCCUACGGGAGGCAGCAGUGGGGAAUAUUGGACAAUGGGGGGAACCCUGAUCCAGCCAUGCCGCGUGUGUGAAGAAGGCCUUAUGGUUGUAAAGCACUUUAAGCGAGGAGGAGGCUCUUUUGGUUAAUACCCAAGAUGAGUGGACGUUACUCGCAGAAUAAGCACCGGCUAACUCUGUGCCAGCAGCCGCGGUAA
RNAcentral lists this ribosomal RNA (503 nucleotides) under uncultured bacterium. Its description in RNAcentral is "partial 16S ribosomal RNA". It matches the Rfam family "Bacterial small subunit ribosomal RNA", at positions 30 to 523 of the family's 1533-position model. The record is from RNAcentral.